RNAcentral lists this signal recognition particle RNA (262 nucleotides) under Candidatus Brocadiia bacterium. RNAcentral's name for it is "signal recognition particle sRNA large type". It matches the Rfam family "Bacterial large signal recognition particle RNA". Rfam says of the family: The signal recognition particle (SRP) is a universally conserved ribonucleoprotein involved in the co-translational targeting of proteins to membranes. Lineage: Bacteria; Pseudomonadati; Planctomycetota; Candidatus Brocadiia. The record is from RNAcentral.
CCGUGCUAGACGGGGAGCUGGCGGUGCCCUGCACCCGCAAUCCGCCAUAGCGGGGUUGAAUCCCUCCCCGAGGUUUCGUCUCCCCGCCUCUACCCGGACCGGACGGUGUUGAGGGCUGGGACCCGCGCGACGGACGCCCGUGAACCCCGCCAGGCCCGGAAGGGAGCAACGGUAAGCGGAAACGCCGGGCGCCGCGGGACUCCCUGGCCGGAGCCGCCCACAUGGGCACGCGGAAGGGACUCGAUCGACGGGAGGUGCACGG